RNAcentral lists this ribosomal RNA (292 nucleotides) under uncultured bacterium. Its description in RNAcentral is "partial 16S ribosomal RNA". It matches the Rfam family "Bacterial small subunit ribosomal RNA", at positions 505 to 796 of the family's 1533-position model. The record is from RNAcentral.
GUGUCAGCAGCCGCGGUAAAACGUAGGUGGCAAGCGUUAUCCGGAUUUACUGGGCGUAAAGGGUGUGCAGGCGGGGAAACAAGUGGUGUAUGAAAUCACCAGGCUUAACCUGGUGGGGUUAUGCCAGACUGUUUUUCUGGAGGGCGAGAGAGGGGCGUGGAAUUCCGGGUGUAGUGGUGAAAUGCGUAGAGAUCCGGAGGAACCCCAGAGGCGAAGGCGGCGCCCUGGCUCGUACCUGACGCUCAUACACGACAGCAUGGGGAGCGAACGGGAUUAGAAACCCCAGUAGUCC